UACGAAGGGGGCUAGCGUUGCUCGGAAUCACUGGGCGUAAAGCGCACGUAGGCGGAUUGCUAAGUCAGGGGUGAAAUCCUGGAGCUCAACUCCAGAACUGCCUUUGAUACUGGCGAUCUUGAGUCCGGGAGAGGUGAGUGGAAUUCCUAGUGUAGAGGUGAAAUUCGUAGAUAUUAGGAAGAACACCAGUGGCGAAGGCGGCUCACUGGCCCGGUACUGACGCUGAGGCGCGAAAGCGUGGGGAGCAAACAGG
RNAcentral lists this ribosomal RNA (253 nucleotides) under uncultured bacterium. RNAcentral's name for it is "partial 16S ribosomal RNA". It matches the Rfam family "Bacterial small subunit ribosomal RNA", at positions 524 to 776 of the family's 1533-position model. The record is from RNAcentral.